RNAcentral lists this ribosomal RNA (607 nucleotides) under uncultured bacterium. Its description in RNAcentral is "bacterial SSU rRNA". The stretch from base 139 to 607 matches the Rfam family "Bacterial small subunit ribosomal RNA", at positions 874 to 1354 of the family's 1533-position model. The record is from RNAcentral.
AUUUAAAAAUAGUGUCGUUGGGAAGUGUGGAGCGCACAUCGUUAAAGACUGACAUUCGCAACAGGCUGGGCCGUUGUCGCGGACGGGUCGCUGCGCGUACGGUGCGAUUACAGCACGGCUAUACAGCUCGCCGGCCCGUGGGGGGCUAGCAGCGCAACCGUAAAGACUCAGAGGAGAUUGCGGGACCCGCAGAAGCAGGCAACCGUGUGGAUUAAUUCGACGCAACACAAAAAACCUUACCUGGCCUUCGCAUGGCCCCUCCACCCCGUCGGAACACGGGCCGCCUGCGAGGGUCCGGCACGAGGUCCUGCAUGCCUGUCGUCAGCCCGUGUCGUGAGAUGUGGGUUCAGUCCCGGAAGAGCCAACCCGCGUCGGGUAGUUACCCGUGUCUACCGAGACUGCCCCGUGACCGCCGGAGGAAGGCGCGGAUGACGUCAAGUCAGCAUUGGCCCUUACGUCCAGGGCGACACACACGCUACAAUGGCCACGACAAUUGCGUCGCCAAGCCGCAAGUCGGAGCUAAUCGCUUAAACCGUGGUCUCAGUGCAGAUCGGGGGCUGCAACUCGUCCCCGUGAAGUCGGAGUUGCUAGUAACCGCGUAAGGGCG